AACGAACGCUGGCGGCAUGCCUAACACAUGCAAGUCGAACGAGACCUUCGGGUCUAGUGGCGCACGGGUGCGUAACGCGUGGGAACCUGCCCUUAGGUUCGGAAUAACUCCCCGAAAGGGGUGCUAAUACCGGAUAAUGUCUUCGGACCAAAGAUUUAUCGCCUUUGGAUGGGCCCGCGUUGGAUUAGCUAGUUGGUAGGGUAAAAGCCUACCAAGGCGACGAUCCAUAGCUGGUCUGAGAGGAUGAUCAGCCAAACUGGGACUGAGACACGGCCCAGACUCCUACGGGAGGCAGCAGUGGGGAAUAUUGACAAUGGGCGAAAGCCUGAUCCAGCAAUGCCGCGUGAGUGAUGAAGGCCUUAGGGUUGUAAAGCUCUUUUACCCGGGAUGAUAAUGGCAGUACCGGGAGAAUAAGCUCCGGCUAACUCCGUG
RNAcentral lists this ribosomal RNA (432 nucleotides) under uncultured bacterium. RNAcentral describes it as "partial 16S ribosomal RNA". It matches the Rfam family "Bacterial small subunit ribosomal RNA", at positions 29 to 507 of the family's 1533-position model. The record is from RNAcentral.